GAUGAACGCUGGCGGCGUGCCUAAUACAUGCAAGUCGAGCGAACAGACGAGGAGCUUGCUCCUCUGACGUUAGCGGCGGACGGGUGAGUAACACGUGGAUAACCUACCUAUAAGACUGGGAUAACUUCGGGAAACCGGAGCUAAUACCGGAUAAUAUAUUGAACCGCAUGGUUCAAUAGUGAAAGACGGUUUUGCUGUAACUUAUAGAUGGAUCCGCGCCGCAUUAGCUAGUUGGUAAGGUAACGGCUUACGAAGGCAACGAUGCGUAGCCGACCUGUGAGGGUGUUCGGCGACACUGGAAGUGAGACGCCGCCCUGACUCCUACGGGAGGCACCAGUAGGGAAUGUUCCGCAAUGGGCGGAAGCCUGACGGAGCAGCGCCGGGUGGGUGAUGAAGGUCUUCGGAUCGUAAAACUCUGUUAUUGGUGAAGAACAAAUGUGUAAGUAACUAUGCACGUCUUGACGGUACCUAAUCAGAAAGCAACGGCUAACUACGUG
This 497-nucleotide ribosomal RNA is filed under the name uncultured bacterium. RNAcentral's name for it is "partial 16S ribosomal RNA". It matches the Rfam family "Bacterial small subunit ribosomal RNA", at positions 28 to 507 of the family's 1533-position model. The record is from RNAcentral.